Molecule: ribosomal RNA, 253 nt
Filed under: uncultured bacterium
Lineage: Bacteria
Description: partial 16S ribosomal RNA
Rfam family: Bacterial small subunit ribosomal RNA
Source: RNAcentral
UACGUAGGUGGCAAGCGUUGUCCGGAAUUAUUGGGCGUAAAGCGCGUGUAGGCGGCCCGGUAAGUCCGCUGUGAAAGUCCAGGGCUCAACCCUGGGAUGCCGGUGGAUACUGUCGGGCUCGAGUCCGGAAGAGGCGAGUGGAAUUCCUGGUGUAGCGGUGAAAUGCGCAGAUAUCAGGAGGAACACCAAUGGCGAAGGCAGCUCGCUGGGACGUGACUGACGCUGAGACGCGAAAGCGUGGGGAGCAAACAGG